Molecule: non-coding RNA, 1014 nt
Organism: Python bivittatus (Burmese python)
Lineage: Eukaryota; Metazoa; Chordata; Lepidosauria; Squamata; Pythonidae
Source: RefSeq, a predicted model, not a curated record
GUGAUUGUUGGGAUUGUUGGGAUCUUGGUAUUUCUCAAGAAACAUCAAGAAGGCUACAAGGCAGCAUUAAUGAGUGACAAAGGAUCCUACAGUUCAGGCCCAGGGAGCAAGGAGGCCAUUUAGCAGCCGCCUGGCAGCACAACUUUGGGGCUGCAGACUCCCCAUGUAGGGAGGGAGGAAAGAAGAGCGAUCAACCUUCUGCUGAAUUACGCUGUUCUCUUAGGAGGACCUCUUUAGGCCCUUCCAGCUGGCUGUCACUAGGAUGUAUUUCGGGUCUUUCAUGAGUGCCCUUGUUCAGAUUUUUGCCUGGGAAAAUCAGGGUUUUUUCAUCUGCAGGAGUAAUUCUAGGACCUCCCCUGAGAAGGAAAUGCAGUUGAAUCAUCUGGAGAAUGAAGGAAGGCUUUGCUUUUAUAUGUAGAAUAAACAUCUUGCAAGAAAAACCAUCUUGGAAGGGGCAUUCUGUUCAUUGAUGGGAAGGGAAAAUGCCUCUUUCAGAUGCUAUUUCUGAAGUGUGCUUUGAGAUUUCGUCCAUAAAAAAUAGUUAAUUUUUUAAAAAAUUAAUCUGUUGCCUAAUUAAUUGGAUUAUAUAUUUGAUUUUCCAAAAGUUUAACAAAUAAUCAAUCUACCAACUGAGGGCAGGCUUCAGAUACAGAGAAAGGUACACCUUUUCUAGCCUUCAGUUAAUAGAUUUUUAUAAUUUAGAAAAAUGGAUCAUGAGAUCAGUUGUGCAGCCUUCCUUCCUAACCACUGUGGUUUCCUAGAGAUAUUGGGGGAUAUUUUGAUUCAUCAAAUUAAUUGUUCAGCUUUGCCCAGUCAAGAAAGCCAAUAUGUCUCUUUGAAACUGCAGCUUUCUGUAGAAAAACAUUAAUAUGCAUUCAAGUAUUUCUUAUCCUCUUUUAAUAACUCUAGUAGCUGAGCCAUUUGGAGUUUGCUUUAUAUAAUAUUUCUUUACACACAUAUUGUAAGAUUGCCAAAAUUGUUGGCUGAAAAUAAAUGAUUUUGUUUUCCUCUCAC